UGAAAGUAUUUAAGCGUCUCGCGUUGUUGUAUUCGGUCUCAUUUUUCCUUCCAGGCUCCGGUGAGUACUUGGGUUGGUGGGUUUCUGGGUUCUGUCUUACAUUAUUUUGCGGCACGGGAAAUGGGGCUCAGCGGUAUUUUACCAGUUGAGCCACUCUUUUUGACUUUUGAGUCUUGUUAAGCUGCCUAACCUGAUCUCGACCUAUCGAUCCUAUUGUCGUUACCUCCGGAGUCGCUGCCAUUUAUAGCCGUUAGGUCGCGCGCUCCAGAUCUCUGUUGUCUUACCUAUUGGCGGGCUGGGAGGGAAGAUCUCCUCCCGGACCUAUUCAGUUACUUCUAUUGGCGCUUUGUGAAGGACAAAAUGGCGGUAGCGGGCCGAGCCAGGCGCCCUCCCAGUGAUGAGGACAUUUUCACAGACCUGUGCUGAAUUCCGUGAGGAUAAGUAACUCUGAGGAGACCGGCGCUGCACAGCUUGUGUCCCCUGCGGCCGUUGCUUGGUAGAAAGCAUUUUUUAAAUAUCCUAUACUAAUCUAAUGUUUUGUCUGCAGGGUUAAGGCGCACAUUCGCCACACAACAAUCGAAGACAGCCCUCUGGUUGGAAUGUGCUUCGGCUCAAAGAUGUGUGGUGUUUGGAGAAUGCACGGAGAUCAUUCCUGCAAUUACAGCGAUCCUCCAUGUCUAGCAUCUUGUCUGGAUUCCAAGAAUGAUUUGAGAGAAAGCAAGUCAUAUCUGCCUAACUUCAACCUGAAGUUAAAGCCCCCAAGUCUGAGGAAAGAUAAGAUGAAGAUAAAUGGCAUCCAUCCAAGUCUUGGAGGACAUCAGAUUUCCAGAUCUUUCCUUGUGCAUCCUAGCUGUUCAAGUUAACACACAAUCAUUUUGAUCUUCCUAAUAAAGCUCUUUUUCUUAAUCUGUGUGAUUCA
Molecule: long non-coding RNA, 919 nt
Filed under: Marmota marmota marmota (Alpine marmot)
Lineage: Eukaryota; Metazoa; Chordata; Mammalia; Rodentia; Sciuridae
Description: lncRNA (ENSMMMG00000003592.1)
Source: RNAcentral